Molecule: ribosomal RNA, 508 nt
Filed under: uncultured bacterium
Lineage: Bacteria
Description: partial 16S ribosomal RNA
Rfam family: Bacterial small subunit ribosomal RNA (bases 20-334)
Source: RNAcentral
GACGAACGCUGGCGGCGUGCUUAACACAUGCAAGUCGAACGGAAAGGCCCUGCUUUUGUGGGGUGCUCGAGUGGCGAACGGGUGAGUAACACGUGAGUAACCUGCCCUUGACUUUGGGAUAACUUCAGGAAACUGGGGCUAAUACCGGAUAGGAGCUCCUGCUGCAUGGUGGGGGUUGGAAAGUUUCGGCGGUUGGGGAUGGACUCGCGGCUUAUCAGCUUGUUGGUGGGGUAGUGGCUUACCAAGGCUUUGACGGGUAGCCGGCCUGAGAGGGUGACCGGCCACAGUGGCACGGAGACACGGACCAGACGCGUCAGGGGGGGAGGGUUGUGGGAUGGGGAGUUAGGGGGGGAGGUCUGCGGCAGCGCGGCGGGGGGGGUGCUGGCGGCCGUCGUGCUCUAAGCCGCUUCGGCGUGGGACGGAGGGGAAGGGCUGGUGAGGGGAAAAGAAGCCCCGGUUGAGUCGGGGCCGGGAGCGGCGGUAGGAGAGGGAGGGCAGCCGCCUGAAU